CAUGCCGUAAACGUUGGGCACUAGGUGUGGGUCCCUCUCAACGGGAUCCGUGCCGUAGCUAACGCAUUAAGUGCCCCGCCUGGGGAGUACGGCCGCAAGGCUAAAACUCAAAGGAAUUGACGGGGGCCCGCACAAGCGGCGGAGCAUGUUGCUUAAUUCGAUGCAACGCGAAGAACCUUACCUGGGCUUGACAUGUAUGGAAAAGCCAUAGAGAUAUGGUGUCCUUCGGGGCCAUACACAGGUGG
Molecule: ribosomal RNA, 245 nt
Filed under: uncultured Actinomycetes bacterium
Lineage: Bacteria; Bacillati; Actinomycetota; Actinomycetes
Description: uncultured actinobacterium partial 16S ribosomal RNA
Rfam family: Bacterial small subunit ribosomal RNA
Source: RNAcentral